GCCUUUAACAAAGAUGGUGCUUAUGGGGCAGGUUCCCUAACAGUCAGGAUUCCGGUUGCAGUUUUUCUCCCCCGCCCCAAAGAUACGUGGUUGCAGACGGAGAAAUGGAGGCCAGAGACAAACAAGUACUCCGCUUACUUCGCCUGGAGCUGGGUGCAGAAGUAUUGGUGGAGGGACUGGUUCUUCAGUACCUCUACCAGGAAGGAAUCUUGACGGAAAACCAUGUUCAAGAAAUCAAUGCUCAAACCACAGGCCUCCGGAAAACAAUGCUCCUGCUGGAUAUCCUACCUUCCAGGGGCCCUAAAGCAUUUGAUACAUUCCUAGAUUCCCUACAGGAGUUUCCCUGGGUCAGGGAGAAGCUGAAGAAGGCAAGGGAAGAGGCCAUGACCGACCUGCCUGCAGGCAAGAGACAGCUGUGCUAGAAGAAUCGAGGAUUAUAAUAAAUUUGAAAAACCAGAACGGUUCUUCAGUAGCUCUCCUAAUGAGUGUGAAGUAGAAUGGAAUUUUUAAAAGA
This 514-nucleotide small RNA is filed under the name Pongo abelii (Sumatran orangutan). RNAcentral describes it as "processed transcript". The record is from RNAcentral. Lineage: Eukaryota; Metazoa; Chordata; Mammalia; Primates; Hominidae.